RNAcentral lists this ribosomal RNA (440 nucleotides) under uncultured bacterium. RNAcentral's name for it is "partial 16S ribosomal RNA". It matches the Rfam family "Bacterial small subunit ribosomal RNA", at positions 338 to 795 of the family's 1533-position model. The record is from RNAcentral.
CCUACGGGAGGCAGCAGUGGGGAAUAUUGCACAAUGGGGGAAACCCUGAUGCAGCGACGCCGCGUGAGUGAAGAAGUAAUUCGUUAUGUAAAGCUCUAUCAGCAGGGAAGAAAAUGACGGUAACUGAGUAAGACGCCCCGGCUAACCACGUGCCAGCAGCCGCGGUAAUACGUAGGGGGCAAGCGUUAUCCGGAUUUACUGGGUGUAACGGGAGCGUAGACGGCAGUGCAAGUCUGGAGUGAAAGGCGGGGGCUCAACCCCCGGACUGCUCUGGAAACUGUACGGCUGGAGUGCAGGAGAGGUAAGUGGAAUUCCUAGUGUAGCGGUGAAAUGCGUAGAUAUUAGGAGGAACACCAGUGGCGAAGGCGGCUUACUGGACUGUAACUGACGUUGAGGCUCGAAAGCGUGGGGAGCAAACAGGAUUAGAUACCCCAGUAGUC